This 207-nucleotide unclassified non-coding RNA is filed under the name Hevea brasiliensis (rubber tree). Lineage: Eukaryota; Viridiplantae; Streptophyta; Magnoliopsida; Malpighiales; Euphorbiaceae. The record is from RNAcentral.
CGAUUCCAAGAUUCGAAGGCAUGAAAUACAUACAUUAUAAACAAAAAUGAUUGACACCUUCUAACGCCUUAAUUUUUCUAAAAAAAUUGCAGCAUAUAGAGAAACAAGGAUCAAACAAGAAAGUGACAAUCCUGCCCUUAAGUAUACAAAAAGACCAAGAUAAUGUUCAGUCAGCAAAGGAGUUCAUACCAUCUUACCCACACCAGG